AUCGCUUCUCGGCCUUUUGGGUUAGAUCAAGUGUAGUAUCUGUUCUGAUCAGCAUAGUAUCUGAUAUGUCCUUUAUCUGAGGACAGCGUAUUAAAUUUAUUUUUGCAAGUAGGAGUUGGACUAGGAGCUUGCUCCAUCCACUCCACGCAUCAGCCUGGUAUUGUAGUACUUCCAGGAAUAGUGUAGCCCCU
Molecule: small nuclear RNA, 191 nt
Filed under: Echinops telfairi (small Madagascar hedgehog)
Lineage: Eukaryota; Metazoa; Chordata; Mammalia; Afrosoricida; Tenrecidae
Description: U2 spliceosomal RNA (ENSETEG00000021476.1)
Rfam family: U2 spliceosomal RNA
About the family: U2 is a small nuclear RNA (snRNA) component of the spliceosome (involved in pre-mRNA splicing). Complementary binding between U2 snRNA (in an area lying towards the 5' end but 3' to hairpin I) and the branchpoint sequence (BPS) of the intron results the bulging out of an unpaired adenosine, on the BPS, which initiates a nucleophilic attack at the intronic 5' splice site, thus starting the first of two transesterification reactions that mediate splicing.
Source: RNAcentral